This 445-nucleotide ribosomal RNA is filed under the name uncultured bacterium. Its description in RNAcentral is "bacterial SSU rRNA". It matches the Rfam family "Bacterial small subunit ribosomal RNA", at positions 355 to 822 of the family's 1533-position model. The record is from RNAcentral.
UGGGGAAUAUUGGACAAUGGGCGCAAGCCUGAUCCAGCCAUGCCGCGUGAGUGACGAAGGUCUUCGGAUUGUAAAGCUCUUUUUGGCGGGGACGAUAAUGACGGUACCCGCAGAAUAAGCCCCGGCUAACUUCGUGCCAGCAGCCGCGGUAAUACGAAGGGGGCUAGCGUUGUUCGGAAUUACUGGGCGUAAAGCGCACGUAGGCGGACUGAUAAGUCAGGGGUGAAAUCCCGGGGCUCAACCUCGGAACUGCCUUUGAUACUGUUAGUCUCGAGUCCGGAAGAGGUGAGUGGAAUUCCUAGUGUAGAGGUGAAAUUCGUAGAUAUUAGGAAGAACACCAGUGGCGAAGGCGGCCAACUGGCUCGAUACUGACGCUGAGGUGCGAAAGCGUGGGGAGCAAACAGGAUUAGAUACCCGAGUAGUCCCUGAGCGGGCUGGCAAGGCG